Dreissena polymorpha is the source of this 2042-nucleotide long non-coding RNA. RefSeq lists it as uncharacterized. Lineage: Eukaryota; Metazoa; Mollusca; Bivalvia; Myida; Dreissenidae. The transcript has 3 exons. The record is from RefSeq and is a predicted model, not a curated record.
UUUUUCACCAUAAUAAUUAAAAAUGGCAUGCGAGUUAUUUUAGUUUAAAGCACCAGAAGUGUUUAUUUAAAUGUCUUAUUCAGCAUUGACGCUACCAACGAUAUAUUUCAUGAGAGUCGAAUGAUAAAUGAUGCCGAAAAUGGAGACGCAAAACAAAAAUGUGUAAUGAAAAUAGUUGAAGUCAACCAAACUCCCCAUCUAUGCACUUUCGCCGACAGAGACAUUGCAAUUGGCGAGGAACUCCGAUAUGAUUAUGGAGUACCAACACUUCCAUGGAGAAAGGCAACACACUGACUACUAGAUCUAUUGACAGCCAGGAACCAGGACAAACAACAUCCGUACACACGGAAGAAAGCGAUGAGACGAAAAGGGUACUUCCAAUACCAGGAGAACAAAACAAGCAGCCAAAAAGCAAUGGAGUGAAAACGAAAAAGGAGCUGUUCACAGACACUUUGAUCGUUUUUUGAUAAUGGGUAAAUUACCAGGGAAAAAAGAAAUACUUGCAUGUAUUGAAAGUGAGAAUGACCUUCACAACAGAAGUUGGAAAAUUGUCAAAGACUUUUGCAGAAAUUUAAUUGAAACAAAAAAGCGACGGGGACUUUUAACUUACAAAAAUAUUACACAUAUAAUGCACGUUUAGGAGAAUACGUUAAAGGAUGAAGUUGCCACUUUUUUGUGUUUUCUUGUUCUAUAUACUCUUUUCGAAAAAGAUAUAUGUGUGCUUAUUGUAUUUGAAUGUUUUAUUAAUACGGUUCAGUCAAAAACGAUAUUUGUUAAUAAUCAUAUCGCCGAACAAAUUAGGAUUGGUAUAUAGUUCGGCCAAAGAGUGUUUCUUUGUACUUUCUAUUACGAGUUUCUACGAGUUACUCACUAUACAAGUUAUUUUUUACCCUAAACUUGGUGAAUAUGAAUGAAUAUAGCAAACAUGAUAACAAAUCAAUCUAGAAGGCUAAACGUUCAGAGAAGGCACAAAAAAAUUCAGUCGGAUAAAUGGAAACAAACAUUUUGUUCAUGCAUAACAAACAAACACUUUUAGAUGUAAUAAGAUAAAUGUAAAUAACAUAAAAAACUACUGCUAAACUACUGCUACAAUAUGAAGAAUACAAAUGAAUAUUUUUUCAAUUUUACAAAAUUUGUUUUGAAUGACAGGUGUCUGACUUGCAGUUGAGUACUUAAUAGUUAUUUUAAAGUAAAAAUUUACCAAAAUGUAAAUUAUUGCGUAAAUAUCGCACUAGAAUUGAUUAAAUAGUUGUAAAAUAUUACAAUAAUUUCCUACACAUUUGUUUUGCGUGUUGAUAUUCACAUUAGCUAUCAAUUCACAUAUUUGCUUUGUGUAUAUAAUUGGUAUGUUUAUAUGUUUUUCAUAUCAAAAUUGCUUGAUCUACAAAAAUUCACGAGGAGUUAUGCAUUUUUUCCCAUGUUUUUAAUUGAAGUUUAUAAUUCAACGACGAUGAAAAUUACUAAGAUGCCAGAUUUAGUUAUGUUUUUGUCUCAUUUAUGGUUAAAGAUCAAUUAACAUACCCAUUUCCCAGACUAAGAUAUUGUUAAAACAAUUUAUCGCGUUUGCGACUGACCUCUUUUAUGCAUUCUAACACAAGCUAUUUACUUGUUGUUUUCGAAAACUCUUCAUAUACACACACUUGAACAAGCUGUAGAUUACCUAGAACAAAACAUAUUUGAAACAUAUAUUUAUAUGUGAUAUGUAAAUUCAUGCACAAAGCUAAUAACUAAUCAUGUUUAUACACUUUGCGAUAUGAUGCUAUAAUGUCGGUUGUUUUAAGUGAUUAAUCAUUAUGUUAACCAUGUUAUCUGCCAUCUGGAAUGUAAUUAAGUGUUUUGACAUGUAUGCGAAAUUGAUCUUGUUCGAUUUGGUGCUGUAUAUUCAGAAUUGAGUCACACUGUUAUAAUUUUCCUGUUGGUACAUAUUAUUUUUAAGUUGGCACCAACAAGGGUCUAACAAUUGAUCCACAUGUGCACUCCCAGUAAGUUUAUAUACUAUAAUGUAAGUGAUUUAAAAUAAUAUUAAACUACGUGUUUGAUAA